GUGUCAGCAGCCGCGGUAAUACGUAGGGGGCGAGCGUUGUCCGGAUUUAUUGGGUUUAAAGGGUGCGUAGGCGGCUCUAUAAGUCAGUGCUGAAAUAUUCCGGCUUAACCGGGAGGGUGGCAUUGAUACUGCAGAGCUUGAGUAAAGUUGAGGUGGGCGGAAUUGACGGUGUAGCGGUGAAAUGCUUAGAUAUCGUCAAGAACACCGAUUGCGAAGGCAGCUCACUAAGCUUUAACUGACGCUGAGGCACGAAAGUGUGGGGAUCAAACAGGAUUAGAUACCCCUGUAGUCC
Molecule: ribosomal RNA, 292 nt
Filed under: uncultured bacterium
Lineage: Bacteria
Description: partial 16S ribosomal RNA
Rfam family: Bacterial small subunit ribosomal RNA
Source: RNAcentral